GAUGAAGAACGUAGCGAAAUGCGAUACUUGGUGUGAAUUGCAGAAUCCCGUGAACCAUCGAGUCUUUGAACGCAAGUUGCGCCCGAAGCCAUUAGGCCGAGGGCACGCCUGCCUGGGCGUCACACGUCGUUGCCCCCCCAUCUAAUCCUUUGGGAUUGCGGGGGGCGGAUGAUGGCCUCCCGUGCGCCUCGUCGCGCGGUUGGCAUAAAUGCCAAGUCCUCGGCGACGCACGCCACGACAAUCGGUGGUUGCGAAACCUCGGUUGCCCGUUGUGUGCGGUCGUCGCGCAUCGAGGGCUCGAAAAAAUUGCCGGGCUCCGGCUCGACUUUCAACGCGACCCCAGGUCAGGCGGGGUUACCCGCUGAAUUUAAGCAUAUCAAUAAGCGGAGGA
RNAcentral lists this unclassified non-coding RNA (391 nucleotides) under soil metagenome. Its description in RNAcentral is "partial contains 5.8S ribosomal RNA, internal transcribed spacer 2, and large subunit ribosomal RNA". The stretch from base 1 to 122 matches the Rfam family "5.8S ribosomal RNA", at positions 35 to 154 of the family's 154-position model. The record is from RNAcentral.